RNAcentral lists this ribosomal RNA (251 nucleotides) under Clostridioides difficile. Its description in RNAcentral is "partial 23S ribosomal RNA". It matches the Rfam family "Bacterial large subunit ribosomal RNA", at positions 1770 to 2020 of the family's 2925-position model. Lineage: Bacteria; Bacillati; Bacillota; Clostridia; Peptostreptococcales; Peptostreptococcaceae. The record is from RNAcentral.
CUGGAGGCCGCAGAGAAUAGGCCCAAGCGACUGUUUACCAAAAACAUAGGUUUCUGCUAAGUCGCAAGACGAUGUAUAGGAGCUGACGCCUGCCCGGUGCUGGAAGGUUAAGGGGAUCUGUUAGAGUAAUCGAAGCAGUGAACUUAAGCCCCAGUAAACGGCGGCCGUAACUAUAACGGUCCUAAGGUAGCGAAAUUCCUUGUCGGGUAAGUUCCGACCCGCACGAAAGGCGUAACGAUUUGGGCACUGUC